RNAcentral lists this ribosomal RNA (605 nucleotides) under Linnemannia elongata. RNAcentral describes it as "eukaryotic LSU rRNA". The stretch from base 158 to 311 matches the Rfam family "5.8S ribosomal RNA". The record is from RNAcentral. Lineage: Eukaryota; Fungi; Mortierellomycota; Mortierellomycetes; Mortierellales; Mortierellaceae.
AGGAUCAUUCAUAAUAAGUGUUUUAUGGCACUUUUUAAAUCCAUAUCCACCUUGUGUGCAAUGUCAGUCGAUCUUCUUCAUGGAGAUCGACCAAACAUCAACCUUUAUUUUUUAACUCUUUGUCUGAAAAAUAUUAUGAAUAAACAAUUCAAAAUACAACUUUCAACAACGGAUCUCUUGGCUCUCGCAUCGAUGAAGAACGCAGCGAAAUGCGAUACGUAAUGUGAAUUGCAGAAUUCAGUGAAUCAUCGAAUCUUUGAACGCAUAUUGCGCUCUUUGGUAUUCCGAAGAGCAUGCUUGUUUGAGUAUCAGUAAACACCUCAAAGCUUUUGGAUUUUUUAAUCGAAAAGCUUUGGACUUGAGCAAUCCCAACACCAAUCUUUUUGAGAUCGGUGGCGGGUUGCUUGAAAUGCAGGUGCAGCUGGACAUUCUCCUGAGCUAAAAGCAUAUUCAUUUAGUCCCGUCAAACGGAUUAUUACUUUUGCUGCAGCUAACAUAAAGGGAGUUUGACCGUAUUGGCUGACUGAUGCAGGAUUUCACAAGGGUCGGCAACGAUUCUUGUUAAACUCGAUCUCAAAUCAAGUAAGACUACCCGCUGAACUUAA